Molecule: ribosomal RNA, 250 nt
Filed under: uncultured bacterium
Lineage: Bacteria
Description: partial 16S ribosomal RNA
Rfam family: Bacterial small subunit ribosomal RNA
Source: RNAcentral
UACGGAGGGUGCAAGCGUUGUCCGGAUUUAUUGGGUUUAAAGGGUGCGUAGGCGGUCCUGUAAGUCAGCGGUGAAAUCCCAGGGCUCAACCCUGGAACUGCCGUUGAUACUGCAGGGCUUGAGUUCGGUUAAGGCGGGCGGAACUGGUGGUGUAGCGGUGAAAUGCAUAGAUACCACCAAGUACCCCGAUUGCGUAGGCAGCUCGCUGAGCCGAAACUGACGCUGAGGCACGAAAGCGUGGGGAGCGAAC